Molecule: long non-coding RNA, 1238 nt
Filed under: Medicago truncatula (barrel medic)
Lineage: Eukaryota; Viridiplantae; Streptophyta; Magnoliopsida; Fabales; Fabaceae
Description: lncRNA gene14831
Source: RNAcentral
AUCAACUACUAUAAUAGUUGGUAAAAAGCAACAUUAACAUCCAUAAACAUAGCAUCAUAAUUCUAUUAAAUUACCCUAACAACUAACUCAUAACUAAAUAAACAUAAAAACUUAGUAAUAUAGUGCAUCAUAUCAUAUGAUAGUAUAAUACAUAAUUAAAACUACAUAUUUUACAUUAUUACUCCCUCCGGGUCCCUAUUUACAAGAGAAAUUUUAAUUUUUAGAUACAUUGAAUAAUGUACUAAUGUAUGUAUGUAUUUAGUCAACAACCUAAACCAAAUACAUAAAUUUUAUUUAAUGUAUCUAAAAAGUAAAUCGUCUCUUCUAAAAUAGGACUGGAUGGAGUAUUAUUUUUCAAACACACAAACACUUCAUAUCUAUAUCUAUAAUAUAAUCAUAAUUAGAACAAGUUCAACAACUCAUGAAUCUUCUUCUCAAACCAACCCUUUUCAUCAUGAUGACGACGAUCCUCCUCAUCGCGGCGAACAAAAUCGUUAUAAGUCAUCACCAUCGGCCUGUACAUGACCCCACCACCGUGAAUCCUCGCCAACCGUUUCUGGAUCCGACGAUCGGAGUUGCUGGCAUCUUUCGACAAGAUCAUGUCGUUACCAUAAGGGAUCUGACGGCGGUGACCGUGACGGCAACGGCGGUGAGAUAACGGAAAGUUUGACGGCAAUAUGCGUUGGUGUGGGUGGAUGUGACGGUUGAUUGGACGGAAAUUGAGGUAAGUUAACGGAACGUGGUCGAUGGAGUUGAGAUUGAACGAAACGGUGUCGUGUUGUUGGGUUUUUGAAGAACUAUGAAAGCGCGUGGUGGUUUCGGAAUUGGAUUCGGGUAAUGGGUUUUGAAGAUCGCGGGCGCGUGAGAGAGUGGUAGUAAAAAGGAAGAGUAAAACGGUGAUGGAAAUAGUAGUGACUCUGGUUGUGGCCAUGGUGUGUAGUUUUUUUGAGAGAAGUAAUGGACACAAAUUGUGGUGAUGAAAUGAAGUUUAGUUUUGUUAUAUAAAAGGAAAUUAGGAAAUGGACAAAGUAUAAUGUUAAAGUGGAGGACUAUUUGAGGAGAAGAAAUUUCUUGCUUUUUUUUAGAGGGGUGGAAAUUUCUUGCUUGUAUUAUACGAGAUCUUUGUACGACUUUACUUUAUUUAUUGUAGUGAUAUAGUGACAGGUUCAAUUUUUAAAUCAUACUUCCUCCGUCCCAAAUUGUAUGACGUUUUGGAUAUUUCAAACGUAUUAAGAAAU